Diceros bicornis minor is the source of this 859-nucleotide long non-coding RNA. RefSeq lists it as uncharacterized. The transcript has 7 exons. Lineage: Eukaryota; Metazoa; Chordata; Mammalia; Perissodactyla; Rhinocerotidae. The record is from RefSeq and is a predicted model, not a curated record.
CAGGUAAAAUUCUCCCUUAAAUAGGAUUCUCAUUAUUGUUCUUUUAGGAUCCGAGAGUUAUUUUAUUUGGGUAUCGAAUUGUGAUUGUCACAUUGUCACAGAUCAGCAGUGACUUGUGCAUAAUGAAUUACUGUUCUUUCUUACAGGUUGCAAGUAAACCUCUAAUGAUUGUAGGGUCUAAUUAGCAACAGUGUCAACUCUUUUAACUAGAAAUAAUUGAUUAAAAACUUUCACUGUGAGAGCUCCACCCAUUCCUAAGAAACACCCAAUUUAAAAAAAGCACUGGAGCUCACGUGUCACUGGAUGAGAAAAGAAACUCUGUGUCACAGCAUGUAAUUCUGAACUAUAUGAUUUUCCUAAAGGUCUUGGACUUCAGGUGAAAAAAAGAAAAGUGUCUGUGGGGCUCAAGUUUGAGUUGAAACCAGGCUCAGGGUCCACCUGUCCUCGCUGAUCCGUGGAUUUCUGUGUGACCAGCUGACACCUAUGGAGCUGUGGCCCUGACUACUACCACUUUGGGACACAACCUGAAGACCCUCACAGUCACCUUCCCCAUCUCCACCCUCCAGUAUUCAUCAGACAGGAGCAAUGGCUCAGCCACGUUCCACUCCACUGAGAGGGUCCUGCAGAGCCUGCUGGAUCCUUGUUCAAGAAGAGCAGCCUGGGCCUCUUCUCCUUGAGUUGCAGACUGGUCUCCCUCAGGCCUGUGAAGGAUGGGGGAGCCACCUGUGUGGACGCUGUCUGCACCCACCACCGUGACCUCGUGGGCCACCAUGCCUCUGUGCUGGGAGCUGAGAGUCUCCACGUGUCUGCUCUUCCUCUCGGUGGCUCCAGGCUCUGCACCCUGGAGUUUAUGCAUGCA